UACGAAGGGGGCAAGCGUUGUUCGGAAUUACUGGGCGUAAAGCGCGUGUAGGCGGUUGUCCAAGUUGGAUGUGAAAGCCUUGAGCUCAACUCAAGAAAUGCAUUCAGGACUGGAUGACUAGAGGACCGGAGAGGAUAGUGGAAUUCCCAGUGUAGUGGUGAAAUACGUAGAGAUUGGGAAGAACACCAGUGGCGAAGGCGGCUAUCUGGACGGUUUCUGACGCUAAGACGCGAAAGCGUGGGGAGCAAACAGG
This 253-nucleotide ribosomal RNA is filed under the name uncultured bacterium. RNAcentral's name for it is "partial 16S ribosomal RNA". It matches the Rfam family "Bacterial small subunit ribosomal RNA", at positions 524 to 776 of the family's 1533-position model. The record is from RNAcentral.